Molecule: non-coding RNA, 2796 nt
Organism: Marmota flaviventris (yellow-bellied marmot)
Lineage: Eukaryota; Metazoa; Chordata; Mammalia; Rodentia; Sciuridae
Source: RefSeq, a predicted model, not a curated record
GGCUUUGGACUCCCAGAACUCCUGCCUCAGCCUCCCGAGCUGCUGGGAUUAUAGGCGUGUGCCACUACUUUCGGCUGUAAUGCUUUUCUUAAUUGUUCCCACAUCUUAUUAAGAUCGGGUAAUUGAGGUCAAAUACACUCAGUAACAUUGCUCCCAAAUGUCAGAGUGAAGACUCUCUCUCAUUAUCAAUGAUGCUUAAGUUGGAGGUAAAAGUGAGGUCCUCUUCAAUUUCUUGUGAUGAUUGUGCUUCUAGGAAUAUCAGCAAAGGAGAAACAGAAAAGUUUAUAGCAUAGUAACAUUAUGAUUAACUGCUAGUAGAACACUUGAAUGUAUCGAUUAUCUCCACAUUUGAUUUUCAAACCAGGCAAGUACAUACAGAAGUGACCUUUAUUGGGUGUUUUGUUUUGUUUUAGUACUGGGGGUUGAACCCAGGGAUGUUUUACCAAUGAGCUAAUACCCCAGUUCUUUUCAUUUUUAUUUUGAGACCAGGGCUUGCUAAGUUGCUGAGGCUGACCUUGAACUUAUGAACCUUCUUGCUUAGCCUCUUGGUUAUUAUAGGUGUGUACUACCUUGCCUGUAACAGAAAUAACCUUUAAAACGCCAUUUCUUCCUCAAUGUUGGUUCAUUUUUUAGGAAUAGUCAGACCUGUAAAUAAUUCUAAUUGUCUCUAAUUGAUUCAAUCAUCUCACCAACUCCAAUGUUAACUGUUGUUUUCAUUACAUUUCAAAGAUAGGACAUCAAACAAAUGGAAGUUUAGAACUUGGUCAAGAACGGCUAGCUACUGUAAGCCAUUUUUGAACCCAUGUCUUAUGGAGCAAAAGCACAACCUUUUUCUGUUUUUUUUUUUUCCCCCCCUGAGCGGUAUUGGGAUUUGAACCCAUGGCUCAUGCAUGGUAAGCAAGCGCUCGACCACUGAACUGCAUCCCUAGCUCCUCUUUUUGAAAAAAAACUUCAAUAUCAGGUUUUGGUAAGUUGCCCAGGUGACCUCAAACUUAGUCCUAUUGCCUCAGUCUCCUGAAUAACUGGACUGAUAAGUAACCUAAUUCUUAAUUGUUCCAGUUGUUGUAUAGUGUCAUCUUUGGACUUUUCUAGAAUCCCUUGAUGUUGCUGUUGUUUCUUCUCAUGACGAAUGUCUCUUAUAAACACGUUUCUGCAGCUUAACUUCACUCCAUGUAAGAAUCUUUUUAACAUGAGACUUGUUCCAUAGGGUUCCAUUGGCUUUCCAAGUUAGAGGAUUGCUUUUUGAUUCUUUCGUUUGGCUAUUAAGACAGAUUCUUAGAGGAGUUUACCUGCCAUUAAGUCAGCUGUUUUGUCCUAGAUGUUUCUUUCCACAUUCAGUUCCCUUUACCUUCAGAUCUUCAGCCUCCAUUUAACUUCCUAUCUUAUGCACUGAGCAUUGCAGAAUUAUGUCAGAUGAGGAAUCAUUCCAUCAAGUAACCGGGAAUAUUGCUGUGAAGAGGUCUGUCUUUUUGUAAGAGGGAGAAGAAAAAGCUGCAUAGUGCUUUGAAGACAUUGAGCAUCAUUCCAAGAAGAAACAUGAUCUCAGCAGUCAUCUUCAAAUCACCCCCAAUCCUGCCCCCAUCUUGUUGAGAAAGCAUAGCCCCACUUUUACCUAUUUAAUGCUGGUUCUAUAUAUUUCGUUGUGUGUGUGUGUGUGUGUGUGUGUGUGUGUGUGUGUGCGUGCGCGCGCGCACGUGCAGCAAGCUGAAACAUUGAGUAAGGGAACAUUCUUUUAGUUCCCUAGAGCAGAGUAGAAGGGAGUGUUUUUCUUUGUUAUUGGAAUGUGGUGCCAAGGGAAGCAGCAGAGGGGGAGGUACUUGGGAAGGAGCAGCAUGGGGGAAGGAUGCAUAUCCUGUAGAAUCAGUGGUCACAGGUUUUUAUAAAACAUCAACUGUUCCCCACCCCACCCCCAGUGAUAGUUGUAGUUCUAUUGCCUAGCCCUAUCUAACAAGUAUUGUGGUUAGUAGCAGUGACUUUGAGGAAAAAAAUUACUCUUUUGCAACUUCCCAUUUCACUUCCAACUUGGUCAGUAUGCUAAGUAAGAAGUUCCAAGUUGUGAUGGCAAAAUUAUUAUAUCCAGACUUACUCUCUUCCCCUUCCCUAGCUUCUAGUGCCUUAUUUGGUUUGAUGUGCUCCUGUGUCCUAUCAGUGCUUUCUGAGUACUUUUAUGUUCAGUUUCUGGGUUGAUGGGAUAAGAGAGAGAGUAAGGCUAAAAUGGGGAAGUUGGGCUUUGUUAAAAUCUUAAUGAUUUCUUGUGGAUUUCACAUUUCAGAAGAUACUAUUAUACAACUAAAGAUAUUAGGGACCCUCUGCUUCAACAACUUGGCUUUAAGUACCCCUCAUUUCCCAUGUUUUACACUUGAUAUGUUUAAGAAAAGUUAACUGAAUAGUUUCAUUGAUCCCAGAACUAUGUUCACCCCAAAGAGGAAGCCAAUCCUUUUCAAAAAAGACGCAAAUACCUCCAUAAGAUGAUAAAUACCAAUGUCCAUUUUCUCCCCAGGGAAUAGUACACCAUUUAAACUAGGCCCUUAGUCACCUAUAUGUAGUACCGGUGAAACUCCAGGUGUCCCUUUUUAUGGAAACUAGAAAGGGUAUCUUUAUCUUAAUCCUGCUUCUCAGAAGCUUCUGCUUUGCACUGUCGGGCAAGUGCCCCAACACAUGCUACUAUUCUGAUCUCUUCAUGUUUAUUUUGGGGAUUUGUUGCAUAUUAGAUUUUAAGUUAGUACAGUAGUGCAGUUUGUAUUUUGAGUUAGGGGGUCUUAUCUGGGAUUCCAAAAUAAAAGAUUUAAGAAAUUC